UACGAAGGGGGCUAGCGUUGCUCGGAAUCACUGGGCGUAAAGGGUGCGUAGGCGGGUCUUUAAGUCCGGGGUGAAAUCCUGGAGCUCAACUCCAGAACUGCCUUUGAUACUGAAGAUCUUGAGUUCGGGAGAGGUGAGUGGAACUGCGAGUGUAGAGGUGAAAUUCGUAGAUAUUCGCAAGAACACCAGUGGCGAAGGCGGCUCACUGGCCCGAUACUAACGCUGAGGCACGAAAGCGUGGGGAGCAAACAGG
RNAcentral lists this ribosomal RNA (253 nucleotides) under uncultured bacterium. RNAcentral's name for it is "partial 16S ribosomal RNA". It matches the Rfam family "Bacterial small subunit ribosomal RNA", at positions 524 to 776 of the family's 1533-position model. The record is from RNAcentral.